GGCGUACGGGUGAGUAACGCGUAGUGUAUCUACCACAAGUGUUUGGAAUACGGCCGAAAGGCUGGCUAAUACUGGAUAGAGCGACGGGAUCCGUAAUUGGGUCUUUCGGGAAAGGGAGGCAGCAAUGCCCCUCGCACUUUGAUGAGCCUGACGUCUCAUUAGCUAGUUGGUGGGGUAACGGCCCACCAAGGCAUUGAUGAGUAGCUGGUCUGAGAGGAUGAUCAGCCACAAUGGAACUGAAACACGGUCCAGACUCCUACGGGAGGCAGCAGUGGGGAAUCUUGCGCAAUGGACGAAAGUCUGACGCAGCCACGCCGCGUGAGUGAAGAAGGCCUUCGGGUUGUAAAGCUCUGUCGCGCGGGACGAACAUCCAUUGGGUUAACAGCCCAGUGGACUGACGGUACCGCGAAAGGAAGCACCGGCUAACUCUGUGCCAGCAGCCGCGGUAAUACAGAGGGUGCAAGCUGUUGCUCGGAAUCAUUGGGCGUAAAGGGUAGGUAGGUGGUCUCAUUUGUCUGGGGUGAAAGCCUCGAGCUUAACUCGAGAAGUGCCCCGGA
RNAcentral lists this ribosomal RNA (557 nucleotides) under uncultured bacterium. RNAcentral's name for it is "bacterial SSU rRNA". It matches the Rfam family "Bacterial small subunit ribosomal RNA", at positions 97 to 630 of the family's 1533-position model. The record is from RNAcentral.